GUCCCAUGGUGGCCGGUUAAGAGGGCGCCUACUGUAUUAGCAUUUGCAAUUUUUUAAGUGACAUUUUCAAAUUAAAUUUUUUGUAUUUCAGUUUAUUUUUAUAGCACUUUAUAAACUCAUAGUUUAAUUGGUAAGUCAUUGGAGUGUUAAUCUAUAAGUAUUCACAAGGGACUUUUAUGAUUUUGUAAAUUUGAGUACUGAAAAUGCUUAGCAUUACUAAUUUUAAACACACAAAGAAAAUCAGAAAACAAGGAUUUUUAUUAGUGAAUUGUAAGUAAGGAUGGAGGUAAUGACUUCAAACUUCAAAGAAUUUUUAUUUUAAUUUGUAUUUUUUGAGCCACUAGAAGAGCUACAGUCAACAAAAACUGCCAACAUUUUCUGGUCUUCUAUUCAUAAAGACAAGCUUUUCCUUUUUGUUGAUUCAUGAAGAACCAACAAAGUUGAAGAUAUGGUUCAGAAACUAGAAAAUGUUGAAUUGACACUGUUCUUUAUCCAUGAUGGAUACGCCUCAUUCAUUCAACUGCUCAAUGUUUUCUUCUUCCAUCCAUACAAGAAGUUUGUGAAAUACGUCAUUGACACAGUUCUUAUAGCUUCCGAUUUCAAAAUCUGGCAACAAGAAAAUUUUAUUAAUCUUCAGUCACUAAUUUCCAAUUUACAGUUCCUCCAAAGUAUGAUCUGAUAUUCUUUCUACAAAAGUAAAUAUCUUGACAAUAAACCUGAACUGUCCAUUACACCUGUUGAUUAUUGCUUCAAUUUCAAUACUUGUGAAACAUGUCAUAAACCUGAUUAUCCAUCUUUACCUUUCUUCAAAUCUCACUGUUCUUCCCAUUUUUGUCGGAAUCACACAAUCAUCCUUAAGGUGCACAAUAGUUGCAAUUAAAU
Molecule: long non-coding RNA, 882 nt
Filed under: Androctonus crassicauda
Lineage: Eukaryota; Metazoa; Arthropoda; Arachnida; Scorpiones; Buthidae
Source: RNAcentral